Molecule: ribosomal RNA, 388 nt
Filed under: uncultured bacterium
Lineage: Bacteria
Description: bacterial SSU rRNA
Rfam family: Bacterial small subunit ribosomal RNA
Source: RNAcentral
AAUGAACGCUGGCGGCGCGCCUAAUACAUGCAAGUCGAGCGAGAAGACGUAGCAAUACGUUUGUAAAGCGGCGAACGGGUGAGGAAUACAUGGGUAACCUACCCUAGAGUGGGGAAUAACUAGCCGAAAGGUUAGCUAAUACCGCGUAUGCUCCUUGGACUUCGGUUCAGGGAGGAAAGCGAUGCCGAGGGUAUCGCGCUCUUGGAUGGGCUCAUGUCCUAUCAGCUUGUUGGGAGGUAACGGCUCACCAAGGCUUCGACGGGUAGCUGGUCUGAGAGGACGAUCAGCCACACUGGCACUGCGACACGGGCCAGACUCCUACGGGAGGCAGCAGUAAGGAAUAUUGCGCAAUGGGCGAAAGCCUGACGCAGCGACGCCGCGUGGGGGA